This 1369-nucleotide ribosomal RNA is filed under the name uncultured bacterium. RNAcentral describes it as "16S ribosomal RNA". It matches the Rfam family "Bacterial small subunit ribosomal RNA". The record is from RNAcentral.
AGAGUUUGAUCCUGGCUCAGGACGAACGCUGGCGGCGCGCCUAACACAUGCAAGUCGAACGAGCGAGAGAGAGCUUGCUUUCUCGAGCGAGUGGCGAACGGGUGAGUAACGCGUGAGGAACCUGCCUCAAAGAGGGGGACAACAGUUGGAAACGACUGCUAAUACCGCAUAAGCCCACAGCUCGGCAUCGAGCAGAGGGAAAAGGAGCAAUCCGCUUUGAGAUGGCCUCGCGUCCGAUUAGCUAGUUGGUGAGGUAAUGGCCCACCAAGGCGACGAUCGGUAGCCGGACUGAGAGGUUGAACGGCCACAUUGGGACUGAGACACGGCCCAGACUCCUACGGGAGGCAGCAGUGGGGGAUAUUGCACAAUGGGGGAAACCCUGAUGCAGCGACGCCGCGUGGAGGAAGAAGGUCUUCGGAUUGUAAACUCCUGUUGUUGAGGAAGAUAAUGACGGUACUCAACAAGGAAGUGACGGCUAACUACGCGCCAGCAGCCGCGGUAAAACGUAGGUCACAAGCGUUGUCCGGAAUUACUGGGUGUAAAGGGAGCGCAGGCGGGAAGACAAGUUGGAAGUGAAAUCUAUGGGCUCAACCCAUAAACUGCUUUCAAAACUGUUUUUCUUGAGUAGUGCAGAGUAGGCGGAAUUCCCGGUGUAGCGGUGGAAUGCGUAGAUAUCGGGAGGAACACCAGUGGCGAAGGCGGCCUACUGGGCACCAACUGACGCUGAGGCUCGAAAGUGUGGGUAGCAAACAGGAUUAGAUACCCUGGUAGUCCACACCGUAAACGAUGAUUACUAGGUGUUGGAGGAUUGACCCCUUCAGUGCCGCAGUUAACACAAUAAGUAAUCCACCUGGGGAGUACGACCGCAAGGUUGAAACUCAAAGGAAUUGACGGGGGCCCGCACAAGCAGUGGAGUAUGUGGUUUAAUUCGACGCAACGCGAAGAACCUUACCAAGUCUUGACAUCCCUUGACGAACAUAGAAAUAUGUUUUCUCUUCGGAGCAAGGAGACAGGUGGUGCAUGGUUGUCGUCAGCUCGUGUCGUGAGAUGUUGGGUUAAGUCCCGCAACGAGCGCAACCCUUACUGUCAGUUACUACGCAAGAGGACUCUGGCAGGACUGCCGUUGACAAAACGGAGGAAGGUGGGGAUGACGUCAAAUCAUCAUGCCCUUUAUGACUUGGGCUACACACGUACUACAAUGGCGUUAAACAAAGAGAAGCAAGACCGCGAGGUGGAGCAAAGCUCAGAAACAACGUCCCAGUUCGGACUGCAGGCUGCAACUCGCCUGCACGAAGUCGGAAUUGCUAGUAAUCGUGGAUCAGCAUGCCACGGUGAAUACGUUCCCGGGCCCUAUGUACACACGGCCCGU